CGCCGCCUGGCCGACCGGCGCCACGCUCGUGGUCCCCGGCCGCGCGGACCUGAUGUCCCCGGCCCGGUUCGUCGCCGAGCGCGGCGUC
RNAcentral lists this transfer RNA (88 nucleotides) under Sphaerisporangium krabiense. RNAcentral's name for it is "tRNA-Gly". The record is from RNAcentral. Lineage: Bacteria; Bacillati; Actinomycetota; Actinomycetes; Streptosporangiales; Streptosporangiaceae.